RNAcentral lists this ribosomal RNA (484 nucleotides) under uncultured bacterium. RNAcentral describes it as "partial 16S ribosomal RNA". It matches the Rfam family "Bacterial small subunit ribosomal RNA", at positions 30 to 507 of the family's 1533-position model. The record is from RNAcentral.
AUUGAACGCUGGCGGCAGGCCUAACACAUGCAAGUCGAGCGGAUGAACGGAGCUUGCUCCUGGUUUCAGCGGCGGACUGGUGAGUGAUGCCUAGGAAUCUGCCUGUUUGUUGUGUAUAACGUCCUGAAACGGGCGCUAAUACCGCAUUCGUCCUGAGGAAGAAAGUGGGGGAUCUUCGGACCUCACGCUCUCAGAUGAGCCUAGGUCGGAUUAGCUAGUUGGUGGGGUAAAGGCCUACCAAGGCGACGAUCCGUAACUGGUCUGAGAGGAUGAUCAGUCACACUGGAACUGAGACACGGUCCAGACUCCUACGGGAGGCAGCAGUGGGGAAUAUUGGACAAUGGGCGAAAGCCUGAUCCAGCCAUGCCGCGUGUGUGAAGAAGGUCUUCGGAUUGUAAAGCACUUUAAGUUGGGAGGAAGGGCAGUAAGUUAAUACCUUGCUGUUUUGACGUUACCAAAAGAAUAAGCACCGGCUAACUUCGUG